RNAcentral lists this ribosomal RNA (421 nucleotides) under Fusobacteriota bacterium. RNAcentral describes it as "Fusobacteria bacterium partial 16S ribosomal RNA". It matches the Rfam family "Bacterial small subunit ribosomal RNA", at positions 355 to 776 of the family's 1533-position model. Lineage: Bacteria; Fusobacteriati; Fusobacteriota. The record is from RNAcentral.
UGGGGAAUAUUGCACAAUGGACGGAAGUUUGAUGCAGCGACGCCGCGUGGAGGGUGUAGGCCUUCGGGUUGUGAACUCCUUUUUCUCGCGAAAAAGGCACAGUUUUGGCUGUGUUGAUGGUAGUGGGGGAAGAAGCGCCGGCUAACUACGUGCCAGCAGCCGCGGUAAUACGGAGGGUGCAAGCGUUAAUCGGAAUUACUGGGCGUAAAGCGCACGCAGGCGGUUUGUUAAGUCAGAUGUGAAAUCCCCGGGCUCAACCUGGGAACUGCAUCUGAUACUGGCAAGCUUGAGUCUCGUAGAGGGGGGUAGAAUUCCAGGUGUAGCGGUGAAAUGCGUAGAGAUCUGGAGGAAUACCGGUGGCGAAGGCGGCCCCCUGGACGAAGACUGACGCUCAGGUGCGAAAGCGUGGGGAGCAAACAGG